UAUAGAGGAUCAGAAUCCGCUGACAUAGUGAGGAGCCAUCUGGGCAUCAAGUUCUGCUGAGUGAACAUUUAGCAGGAACAAGUCCUGGCGGGGCUGCAAUCCAAGGAUGACCACAGCAGAACUCCUUUAUCUUGCAGAGACCUAACAGUCUAUAUAAGACCCGGAGGUUGGCAUUCAUCUCUACCCAGCAUUUCUAUAGGAUCCCUGGUAUUACUCUUCCUAGAAGAAACAACAGGAAAGCAGAAAAUUGAGAAAAACAGCAGCAACUUCAAAAUACCAAAAUCAAGUUUACACAAAAAAUAACUGAGAAGGACUUCUGGUUCCAGCGCUGGCAUGUGAAGAGCGCAAAGUCGGAGCUCCUGCACCGUAUUAGCCGCCACAAGGGAUACUGACCUCCACAUCCUGCAGCCAGAGGUCCAGGAGUGUGUCGGAAGGACCGGUAUCUUUAUUCUGCCGGCGGCAACAGUGAUAGCAUCUCGACAGUCCCUCUCUGCUUCCCCCUUAGGGCCGCCAUCUUCUGCCUGUGCAAGGAGCGCCGCUGUUCAGUCACACAGCACUGAGGUACCAGAUGGUGCAGACACUCAUGGGAGACGGGGAGCGCUCUCUCAGUGACUGGCAGCCGCAAUGCUUAUGAGGGGCUACGGGUUAGCACACUACCACUCUGACCACACCACAUAGAGGACCGGGAGUGCCUCCUGCACAACCUCUUCAAGUUCUGCCCCUACAUCUAUCUUCAUAACUGCUUGAGUGGCAGAUUGCAGCAUUACCAUACAGUACUCAUAGGCACUGAGAGGGUCUGGGGUCCCUGCUUCAUCUUCAUCCACACUACUAUUGGCAGUGACUUUUUCCUACUUCAUGGACCGUUAUCUCAGUAAAGGGCCCCAACUUGGGGACUCCCGAGCAACAACGCCCCCCUCCACUCCUGCUUCCAGCCUUUGGACUAACGUUCCUUUUAUCCAAACGGAUGCCCUUGCUUGACCAUACAGAAUUCCCGCAGGGUAGGUCCUCCCCAUGGAACUGUGGAUUUCAAAAGGGGUUAGGACGAUGGGGCGAAUUAUUCACAGUGGUUAUCGCAGAUUGCUCACACCGGGGGAGAUGAAACAGACAUUUGACCUUCCCACGCUCUCUAUGCCAACCAGGUUCAUGCCUUCUGUUCCUAUAGAUUACGGGACCUAUCGAAGGAAGCCCCAUUUCACACUCUGGAAGAGGUUAGAGGCAGUGAGCCACAGAGAUUAUCAAUAUCCGAUUUGUAUGUAGCUUUCCGGGGCCGCUUUCUUAAAUAUGACUCCAAACGUGUUUUCCGUACAUGGGAAAGGUGGACUGGGGACACCGACAUUGCUGACAGUAUACUACGUGGUUGGGAGGAAACAUGUUAAUGAGGUGGAAAGAGACAUAAUUCAAGGUUGCUCACACCGGUUUUAAUAUUUUGCCCUCUUCUUCUUUCACAGAUAGGAUCACUCACUGUCCUAAGUACAAAACCCCGCUCACUAACAUGCAUCAUGGGGUCUGGGAGUGUCUCCACUCAGCGGAUUACUGGCGUCUUUCCAUGGUUUCUUUAUGUUGUUUUAGUGGCACUUCGGUGUCUUUUCGCCAAAUGGUUGGACCCCACUACUCCAAAUUUGCCUGUGCGGAUAGCCCAAUUGAAGUUAUUUCUAGCUGUAGACCGGUUAGAUGCAGAGUGGCACUCUGACUCAGGCACAAAAGUUUUUUUUACAGAAAUGGAGAUCUUUAAUUGUUACUCACUUUGACUCUCAGGGGAUCGCCGAAAUUGUCCGGCCUUUUAGAUACACAGCCUGGUAUGGAAUCUCUGGGAGGUUCUUUAGGAGCGUUGUUUACCUGAUACCUGAUGCGCUAUGACUACUCUCUAUAGCUGCUUUUGGUUUUAUUUUGAUCCCCUGGGAGUCAGAGGAGCAGUUGUUGGGCUCGAUUGCCGUUUCUGGGACAAGGAACGGCGCCCGUUUACCAUGUAUGGGGGACAUGUGAUGGUGUUAUGGCUCCCGCUUGCCGUUAGACCCUACUAUUUGCCUCGGACUGCCUUUUUACUGGUGGACACCAGCGUCGUUCCCUGGGACUUCAUCUCCUUUUCUUUGAGGACAUUAUAUGAUUGUUAUUAAGUCGAGGGGGGACUGUUGUACUGGGUAUGCAAUUUGUUCCUGGUCGGGAUCUUUAUUGCUCUCCUCGAG
This is a long non-coding RNA of Hyla sarda, 2183 nucleotides long. RefSeq lists it as uncharacterized. The transcript has 3 exons. The record is from RefSeq and is a predicted model, not a curated record. Lineage: Eukaryota; Metazoa; Chordata; Amphibia; Anura; Hylidae.